RNAcentral lists this long non-coding RNA (2285 nucleotides) under Nilaparvata lugens (brown planthopper). RNAcentral's name for it is "uncharacterized LOC111049275, transcript variant X2". Lineage: Eukaryota; Metazoa; Arthropoda; Insecta; Hemiptera; Delphacidae. The record is from RNAcentral.
GACACGUUCAGUAGAAUUCGCGGGUGACUUGAGUGAACAAGGCUCAACACAUUGGACACGGGCUGACUAAUCUCGCACUAGAUGAAAAUAUGUGAUUGUAGCCUAUGCUGUCUGGUUUCAUCUUGCAUUUCUCAUGGUGAUGAAUUUCAAGCUCUGCUCUACCGGUAUGUUUUCUCUGACUCUUGUUAAACAAGUAUUAUCAAGGUAAGGCAGAAUUUAUUCAUAUCUUAGCACGCAUAACAUUAAUACAUAUCUCCGAUAAGCAAUAACGGACUCAAAUUGGAAUCAUUACCACUAAAAUACAAGUUUCAAAUAAAAGUGCAUCUAUAUGUUACACAUUUAUAGUGAGGUAUAUGCAUUAUGUAUAGAUAUCUGAUCUCCUCUUAUCGAUACUGUAAUGCUUUUAAAUUGACAUUCUUCAUCAAAUUGUCCACCUUUAUCAGUAUUGGUAUUCCUCUUAUCUCUUCUCUUAUGUUCUUGUUAAAAUUAUUCGAUCUUCUAUUCUCCUUUAUGUUCAUUUUUCUGCAAAGUUUAAUGUGAACUCGAACUUCUUAGAACUUUUUACAACUUUCAAACUUUCAGUGAGAAGGUUGCAUACACAAUUUAUGCUCACAUGCACUUUAUUCAGGUCUCGCUCCAACGUAUAUGCAAUCACAAAUUUCCAUAAUCCAUCCGAAAUUAUACCUCACCCGGUAAUGCACAUGAAUUCUCGAUUUUAUUGUUGCUCUAUUCAAAUACGGUUGUUGGCAGGCAUGUCCGUCCCUACUUGCUGCAAAGAAAGUCGACGCACUUUCGUGUGCGAGUGCCUGUAGGCCUACUAUAUAGCUAGGGGGGGGGGAGUGGAAUAGGUGUUGUAAAUUUGCCGAGAACAUGCAGGCUAUGUUGUGUGUUGGCACGUGAUAAGUUGACGAGAGCGGGGAGUCUUCAGGGCAACUUCAAGUAGACUAACGUGCUCUCUGUUUUCAGUUUUCUUCCCUCAAAUUUGAUUUCUGCUUCAAACUGACCAGUUUUGGGUCAGAUUUUGGGCCUUAUUCAAGUCAUGUAAUCGAAUAACCGAGAUUACACACUACUGUACCAAAUCAUGUUUUCCCAAAAUACUAGUUGUGUUUUUUAUUCAAUUACGGGUACUAUCAAGCAUAAUAAAUGUAGUUUGUACUGUGCGCACACAAUACGUUUAUUUAUUCAAUUAUUUUAAAGUUUUAUUAAUAUUAUUUUAUUCAAUAUGUAACUCAAUUCAAAUCAUUUUGGCAAGACUUAUUCUGAAUGACUUUUGAAUGAUACAACCUGUAUCACUUUUUAUUUUUUAUUGAAUUCUUAUUGUAUUGUUUUACUGAAUACUUGUCAUGUGGGUGAAAUAAUAGAUCUAUAUUCUUCAAACUAAACCCGUUAUUAUUGUCAUAUUUCAAUGAUUGCAGUAUUAUUUUUACAGCAAUUAUAAUAGUUAACCGAAUAUUAUACUAUCCCAUUAUAUUUUAUAGUACAGAUGUGUGUUUUUAAACUAUGUCGAAUGUGUGAAUGUGCCAUGUGAAUGGAACAGCAUAAUCCACACGAUAGAAGUGCAAUAAUACUCAAUGGUGGUAUAGAGUACUUAGAGUGCAGUGUAAUAGUAUUCUUGUGGUCUUCUCUUCUGGGAAUUUCCCGCUAGUUCCAAUCUUCUUCUAUAGAACGAGAUAUUCUUCUCCUAUCUACAUCGUCAGGACCACAAUCACGUACCCAUCUCUACUAUCUGUUUCUAUCUCUAGCCGUUUGUGGUCUCCCGCCCAAAUUGCUGUUCAAUUUGUUGAAGAACUUUUAUGGUUGCGAUGAUCAAACCUUGAGACGCUUGUCCUACCCCACGCUGCAUUGUUUUCACUCUCUCGCAUCACGCGCGCAAAAUGUGUCCUUUUCAAUUUGCGCCGCGCCGCUAAGUGCACGAUUCUCGGCGCAUUGCUGUUCACGACCGUGUGAGGUCACUCGCCUCAUGAUGGCCUAGUCACUGCUUCACUAAAUGAACCUCUCACAACUGAAUCUGUAAACCUGUAACGACAAAAACCAAAUAUCCACUGCUAAAACUCAGAAGAAACUCCUAAUCAGAAGUUUCCAGUAUGAAUUGAGCAGAGAAUGUUUAGUUGCAUAAUAGUAUUAUUAAAAUGCAACUGAAGGAAUAUCCACACGCUACGUUGUAUUUUAAGGCCUCAUGGAUAAUCUCAGUUGAGAAUGAAAAAUCUCUACAGAGAUGAAUUUGAAUAUCAUAACCUCAAAAUUUCAUGAGAAAAAAUAAUAUUCAUAAGACACAGCUACAUGCU